This 492-nucleotide ribosomal RNA is filed under the name uncultured bacterium. Its description in RNAcentral is "partial 16S ribosomal RNA". It matches the Rfam family "Bacterial small subunit ribosomal RNA", at positions 29 to 507 of the family's 1533-position model. The record is from RNAcentral.
AGUGAACGCUGGCGGUAGGCCUAACACAUGCAAGUCGAACGGCAGCACAGUAAGAGCUUGCUCUUACGGGUGGCGAGUGGCGGACGGGUGAGGAAUACAUCGGAAUCUACUUUUUCGUGGGGGAUAACGUAGGGAAACUUACGCUAAUACCGCAUACGACCUACGGGUGAAAGCAGGGGAUCUUCGGACCUUGCGCGAUUGAAUGAGCCGAUGUCGGAUUAGCUAGUUGGCGGGGUAAAGGCCCACCAAGGCGACGAUCCGUAGCUGGUCUGAGAGGAUGAUCGGCCACACUGGAACUGAGACACGGUCCAGACUACUACGGGAGGCAGCAGACGGGAAUAUUGGACAAUGGGCGCAAGCCUGAUCCAGCCAUACCGCGUGGGUGAAGAAGGCGUUCGGGUUGUAAAGCCCUUUUGUUGGGAAAGAAAAGCAGCAGGUUAAUACCCCGCUGUUCUGACGGUACCCAAAGAAUAAGCACCGGCUAACUUCGUG